UACAGAGGGUGCGAGCGUUAAUCGGAGUAACUGGGCGUAAAGGGCACGUAGGCGGUGAUGUUAGUCUGAUGUGAAAGACCUGGGCUUAACCUGGGAUGUGCAUUGGAGACGGCAUAGCUAGAGUUUGGGAGAGGGAAGUGGAAUUUCCGGUGUAGCGGUGAAAUGCGUAGAGAUCGGAAAGAACACUCGUGGCGAAGGCGGCUUUCUGGCCCAAAACUGACGCUGAGGUGCGAAAGCGUGGGUAGCAAAC
This 250-nucleotide ribosomal RNA is filed under the name uncultured bacterium. RNAcentral describes it as "partial 16S ribosomal RNA". It matches the Rfam family "Bacterial small subunit ribosomal RNA", at positions 524 to 773 of the family's 1533-position model. The record is from RNAcentral.